GGGCCGGUCGGAACGGGGCAUUGCGCCGGGCUGAGGGGGCGGCUGGCGGAGCGAGGGGCGCGGACACCCCCGAGGGACCCACGCCGGAGCAGGGACGGCCUUGAGGGAGCAUGGACCCGCCUGGACGCCCCUGAGGAACCAGGAGCUGCUGGGAAGGCACGGUUUCAGCAGAUGGAUGACAAUAUGUGCAGGAGACAGGGAAGAAUAAAGCAACGUGCUAAAAUGAAGAUCAAAUGUUGCAAAACCUACUUGAGUGAAACCCAGCAUCUGCCAGCAGAGAGUGCCUGAGGAAUCUCAGCACAGGAUCGGAGACAGUUACAAGAAGUCAGGACAGAAAUCAGGCACUGAGGUCAUCAGGAAACGCUAAUCGGUACGUAUAAUCAACUUACUGCACGGAGGUAAACACAUCGAUAGGUGUCAGCGAAGGAUGCCGUGCACUGACAGUUCCGUCAGCAGCAGAACACCUUGGAGGACUCGGAUUCCUGGGUAAGGCUUGUCAGUCCCAGGCCUCAGCAUGGCUCCCGUGUGCCAGUGGGAUUAGUUAGAGGAUUGCCUAUGAGCCAGGUUGCUGAAAUAGUCUAUGCUAAAAAAAUAAAGAAGUGUUUGUCUUCCGUCAGAAAUUUCAGUGUGAAUUUCAACCAGAUCGCUGCAGUGAUUGUUUGCACUGCUGUCCCCUAAACAUUGCUGUAAGUCAGGGAAACAAAGAGCAGUGUGAGAGGUGGGGUAGAAAAAGCAUAUUCUAAAAACGUUAGCAAAGGAAAACCUUAAAUGUCCUCUUCGCUGUAUGUCACACCUGCUAUUGCAGUAAAUCCUCCAUCAAGGCAAAUACGGCCCUCCCAGAAUGAAUCUUGAGUGAACGAAGAGCUACUUAACGUAGCUGGGAAGAGUCACAUUCCCUCCGCCCUGCAUUAAUUAACUCCGUAGGCUCUUGGCUUUCCACUGCUGCCUGCAGGGUCCAAGCAGAGGUGUCCAGCUCAGGGCUAAAGGGGACGGUACCCUCACCUCGAACUCCUGGCCACUGGCUCUCACCUGCAGCAAGGCUG
Cygnus olor (mute swan) is the source of this 1043-nucleotide long non-coding RNA. RefSeq lists it as uncharacterized. The record is from RefSeq and is a predicted model, not a curated record. The transcript is spliced from 3 exons. NCBI's taxonomy places the organism in Eukaryota, Metazoa, Chordata, Aves, Anseriformes, Anatidae.